GAUGAACGCUGGCGGCGUGCCUAAUACAUGCAAGUCGAGCGAACAGACGAGGAGCUUGCUCCUCUGACGUUAGCGGCGGACGGGUGAGUAACACGUGGAUAACCUACCUAUAAGACUGGGAUAACUUCGGGAAACCGGAGCUAAUACCGGAUAAUAUAUUGAACCGCAUGGUUCAAUAGUGAAAGACGGUUUUGCUGUCACUUAUAGAUGGAUCCGCGCCGCAUUAGCUAGUUGGUAAGGUAACGGCUUACCAAGGCAACGAUGCGUAGCCGACCUGAGAGGGUGAUCGGCCACACUGGAACUGAGACACGGUCCAGACUCCUACGGGAGGCAGCAGUAGGGAAUCUUCCGCAAUGGGCGAAAGCUUGACGGAGCAACGCCGCGUGAGUGAUGAAGGUCUUCGGAUCGUAAAACUCUGUUAUUAGGGAAGAACAAAUGUGUAAGUAACGAUGCACGUCUUGACGGUACCUAAUCAGAAAACCACGGCUAACUACGU
Molecule: ribosomal RNA, 496 nt
Filed under: uncultured bacterium
Lineage: Bacteria
Description: partial 16S ribosomal RNA
Rfam family: Bacterial small subunit ribosomal RNA
Source: RNAcentral